This 6382-nucleotide long non-coding RNA is filed under the name Brassica rapa (field mustard). Its description in RNAcentral is "long non-coding RNA (BRAP_LNC008751)". The record is from RNAcentral. Lineage: Eukaryota; Viridiplantae; Streptophyta; Magnoliopsida; Brassicales; Brassicaceae.
GGAAGUAUUCUGAGAACCUCAGAUCGACCAUCGAGGAACAUCGACCGUGUCAUUUCCGGUCAUCUAUGAUCGGGGGUGUCACAAAGGUGGUAUCAGAGCAUGGUUAUACGAUGCUAGAAUGGGACUUGUUUCAAAUGUUUUUUGAGUCAAAAUGAGUCGCAAGGAUAACUAGGAUAUGCUGGCUUGUUCCUUCAUUUUAGGAUAGAUAGUCAUGGGAAGUUACCUAACAGUGAUAUUUCAUAGCAGAAGCACCGAGACAAGCUUGAAUGGAUGGAGCGUACUUACCGAGGUUAUUAUCAUCAUGAUCAAGUUUGCUACCCUCAUGGUGGGGUUCACUACCUUCCUGCUAGAAGUCAAUAACCUCAUGCCUUCCUGCCGUUCUUCUGAGUUUUAGUGGGGAUGCUAAUACUUUAGAGAGAUUUAUGGGAUAUAAUUGAUACAUCGAAUACAUCUCCGGACUCGUGUGUUAUCGAUGUCAAGGUGGGUGUUUUUUGUGAUCCGGUCAGAGCGAUUCGACUACACUUGAUCACAUAGAUGCACUUAUUAUUCCGGUUUCUCAAGUCUAACCAGCUCAUGCUAAGACGUACAAGCACCACAGCCAUACAAGCAUGAUUUCUUAAGCAUUUGUUUCAAGCUUAGCGUUGGAGGAAGAGAUGGUUUGACUGUAUUACAAGAUGAUGGAAGCACCAGAAGCAUUCUGUUUGCAACGGAAUAUCAUGAAGCUUAUGAUGCAAAGAAGAAGAAGUUGGGACCAUAAGAUACUGAAGAAGGACUAAACCGUUAGAAGUAUACUUUGGCUUGAGGCAGAUUUGGGAUCCAACACUCAGAGCAGAAUAUUCACGUGGCCGUUAUUCAGAGAAUUACAAGAAGGAUUUGGCAGCAAGCUAUUUGGAGAUGAACGCUAUGAGUUGUUGGUCGAGAGUCAAGAGUUACUUCAGAGAGUUGAGUUCGAGUUGGACAGAUUUCAUGAGUUCAGGAAGUAGUAUUUUUUACACAAGCAUCCAGAUACGUGGUCGAGUGAAUUGGAUUCAUCGAUUAUGGUUUGGAGAAUAAGCAAAAGAUCAUACGAAAAAUCUUUGGGAACUUAGCCAAGAAUUUUGGAGUAGAUAAAAGACCAUGGAGUUUCAAAGCUUCGAGGAGAUGUUAGAGUAUGACGUGAAUGUUAAAGAAGCUAUUAUUGCUGAAGAGGUUAACCAAGUCAUGCGGACCGUUUAUUUUCCAACCGCUGCAGAUCAAAGGUCAGUUUCAAGAAGUGAGUUAAGUAAGUCGUUGGGGAUGAUUUUGGGUGUACAUUUCAUCAGAUCAAGAUCGAGGACCUUGAGCCGUUAUGGUUGUGACUAGCAAAGACAGAAUGGUCGUGAUUGUCAAAGUUUGGGAAAUCCUGGAACGUUUGCAUCAUUCGCGCUUUGGUGGUUCUUGUGAAGAGUUAGGAAUUUAGGUUACCCUUCCUCAUGAAGUUACCCGAUCUACGUUACCUAUACCUAAGAUAACACUUGUUGAACUAGUCCGAUUUUCCUUACCGUUAGUCCACAUCCAAGUGUUAGGCUAUUUGGGUAGAGCCUACACUUUAUAGUUGCCUGGACCGUCAAAACCUUUGAAAAGGUCCAAUCACAGGUUUGCUUCUUAUCCCAUUGCGUGUUGUGUGCAUUUAAAAAUUUAUGAAUGAUUAAAUAAAUAAGUGAAGGAGUGAUCAAGGUGUCGUAUGAGACCUUGCCUAUGGACGGAAUUUUCCGCCCAUAUUGUGUUUGAUGCGGGAACAACACAUAGAUGUAGUUCUCGGGUAGUGUCAUUGUUUUAGGAAGGAUUCACUUUAGUGAAUUCAAGUACACUGUUCUUAUUCGUGGAAGUACUGGCUGCCAUUUAGAGUUAUGGUAUGCCUUCGUAUCCCAUCCCCAUUCCUUAGUACUUCCAUUAGAGCGGUUUGUUUCUAUCUAGAGUGAGAUUGGCUAUCUAGUUAUCGAGCUCAAUUAGGAUGUUGUUGAGGAAGAAAGUCUUUGAGAGAAGACCAGUUAUUGUUGGCCUACAAUGGUAUUCUACCAAGUAUUGGAGCAUCGUUCGUAUCAGUCUUGGGAGUUGAAGACCUUUUGGGAAAAGGUGAAGAUGUGUAUUCCAUUAUCUUGAUCAUUGGGAAAAGAGAAGAUGACAAGGAUCAGAAUACAGUGAAUAAUCAGAUAGCUAGAGAAUUUGAAGUUACGCUUAAGGAAUUGGAAGAGUUAUUGCUAUCUAGAAGUAAGCUGUUCAAUAUUCUUGUUCAACUUGGAUUCACUGCAAUAGCCUAGGGAUCUCACUUUCUUGCCGAGUUCUAGUAGUAGUCAGAAGAUUAUGAAGAGCGUCUCAGAUAGAUCAGAAGUGUAAAGAAUACAGUAAGUGAAAUCAUUCUUGGAAUGGGUGAGUGUGCGUAUUUGAGAGUAGCACCCCUCGUCUGAAUCAUGUUGGUGUGAUUUAUCGUGCAUGUUCUUGUUUGAUUGUUGCACGGUUAAUCAAGUUAACAUUGACCAGACUGGAGAUGUUACUUUCACGUAUGGCACAUCACCUAACGUUCCAAAUUUCAUGUUGCUGUUAUGGGAGAAAGUCAGAUAGAAAAGGUUGAGAAGUCAUAGUCUACAGAUACAAGAUUGUUAGAAAAAGUAUGCAGACCGCAGUUGACAAGAGUUGUGCAGAGUAAAGAAUUUGGUUAUCUUGAAAGUGGCUGCUCAGGAAAGAAAGGAUCUGUUGGGGUAAUCAAGGGAUCCCAUGAGUUGUUUUGAUAUGGGAAGAUUAAGAUAAGGAAAGAGCUAAUAUCCAUAACUCCUUUCAGAGACAGUUCAGUAAAGAGUGUACAUCUAUGUUUUCAGAAUUCGGGGACGAAUUCUUUUGAGGAGGGAAGAAUGUAAUAACCCUCACGAGCAGAUAUAAUUUUGGUCGAGAAAAAUCCCGCUCGACCAGUUUGGAGUUGGUUCGACAAGAAUUAAAAAUAAAAAUCGACCCCGUGAAUUAUUCUUGAUGGGAUUAUCUCGAGGCCAAAGUACCUACUCUUAAUAGUUCUGACCAAGUGUUAAUUAUUAUGGUCGAGUUUUUUCUAAGCUGUACGAGAACCGAUGGAUGGGAAACAUUUUAUCGAAAACUGGUCUUGAAUACUUUCAGCUGCUUGCGAGUCAUGUGCAUGUCAUGUGCUGCCUGGCUGCUUGCUUUCUUCCUAACCUGAACAUGUGACUUGCACCUUCCAGCUUUCUUGCUACAUUAAAGUCAUGUGAGUUGCACACCUGCUUGUAGCUUUCUUCAUGGGAAGGAAAAGUUCAGCUGCUUGUGCUGCUUGGUGUGCUGAAGCAUGUCACCAGCUGUCUAACCUCAUCUUUGUCUUUUGUGGGAGCCAACCCUCAUCUGAAGCAACUCCUUAUGAUAUAAAAUACCCUCUUCUCUCCUCUGGACGUUCAUAACCUGCAAGAAAAACCAGAGAAAAAUUCAGAGAGAAAGAGAGAAAGAAGAGAGAAAAAUCUGUGAGAAAAGAUUCAUGAAAAAUUCAGAAAAAUAUUCAGAGAAGAGUAGUGAGCAUGGACAACUCUUUCUCAUCAUCCUGUGACUUUAAUCAGUGAGUUUUGGAGUGUUUAAGAGCUGAAGAUUUGGUGUCCUGAAGUUGAGAAUCACCCAUGUUCUUCAGCCUUUGAUUUUGAUCGGUAAGAUGGUUGUGGAUCAGUUUCUGUGAGAAGUUUUGUUUGUUUGCCUACACUGGAGAUAAAUUCUGAAUAAAUCCAACCAUGGAUUCUUGUGGUGUUGAUCAGGUUAAUUCGUGGUUAGCUUGAAGAGAGACAACCAGUCAAGUUUAAUUAGUUGAGUAAAACCGGUAAGCUUCAGCUUCUUGAUUCAGCCAUGUUUUGAUGAGAACCAAUUGCUGUAUGUUGGUUAACCUGUCAGGAUCAGUUGUCUAAGGUCUUGUUCUCUUCAGUCUUGGUUGAUUUAUGAUUUAAUCAGUCUCAUAGAACCAGUAGACGAACUGAUAAGAAUUAUGGGAAUUAAACCGAACUGAUUUGAUCUUGUUUAGAACUGAAUUGAGCUGAGUAUGUUCUGAUCUGAUCUGAGCCGAGCUGUCUAUGGUCUGAAAUUGUCUUGAACUGAUGUCGUCUGAGUAUAACCGAGUUAAGCUGUUGGGAACUAAUUUGAACCGGAGUUAGCUGAGCAUGAACUAAGCUGAUAUGAACCGAGUUAAAUUGUUAAAGCUUGAACCGAGCUGAACAUGGUAUCAAUCUGUCUUGAACCGAACUGAUACGAGAGAACUGAACUGAAAUGUUAUGAACUGAGUUGAGUUUCUUCUUGAACCAGACUAGUGAACCUUAUGUUCCAACUGUUAUGUUUUGAAUUCAGAUGGCCAAGGAGAGUAUUCGGAUCAGCCGGAUCCUUGUGAUGGUUCUGAACCGAGAGUGAUCCAGAAGUGAAGUGUGAUUAGCUUGAGCUCGAGUCUAGUCUUCCUUAGCCAAUCUCAUGGAUUUAAAGGUGAGUCUAGAUAGAUGAUGAAUGAAUUAUGAAUGAGUAUAUUGCACAUUGAAUAUGGUUGAUUAAUUAAGAAUUAAUCAUGAAUUAAUUAAGAGAUAAUCAUUGAUUAAUUAAGGAUUUAUCAUGGAUUAAUUAAGGAGUAAUUAUUGUUGAUUGAUUAAGUAUUAUCCCUUGAUCUAUAUUUAUAUAUGAAGUAUUUAUCUAGUUUAAAUACUUAAGAAUUGAUAAGAGUAAUUCUUUGAGGUUAUCCCGAGCCUUAGUACUUGUUCUCAAGUACUAAUCUAUAAGUAUUCUAUUAAUAAGUGUGAAUCAUGUGAAGUCUUAUUGUAUACUCACUCUCCCGAAAGUCCCGCAUUGCCGUGAAUUGGUCCUGCGAUAUGGAUCAAGGUCAUGAAGACACGAUGAUGGGGUCGCACCCUGGAGGCCGUGUAACUGCAUGCAGCGUUGGAUGUUCUAUCUUGGAAUAUCUGAUGGAGAUGAUGGUUAUAUUUAUUCCCCGUUAGGUUCGGUUAGCCUUGGUGGUUUUCCGGGUUUAGCAUAUAUAUAUAUAUUAAGAGUAUGAGUGAUUGGCGGGUAUCGUGGAGGUGAUGUUUAAGAUAGAUUCACAUGGAUGGAUUGAGAGGCCUUAUAAUUAUAUUAAUUAUGGAAUAUAAUUCCACUGCAUUCAAAUGGUGUCGCUUGCUCGGGAUACUAUUGAUAUGUGUUUGGGUGUGGGAUUAGACUCACUGAGUAAACUAGUUACUCAUGACUCAUUUGAUAUGCAGGUAACCAGUAGGUGGGAGACCUUUACUCUAGGACGGAAAGGAACGGCAUUAGCCAGCGGUAGUUUUAUUAUCCUUGCAAAGUCAUAUUGAUAUAUCUUAUGAAUAAGAUUUGUAGACCGAAAACCUCGAGGUUAAUUUAUAACAAAUUUUGUAAGAUGAUUUUGAAUGAUAUAUAAAUAAUGUUUUUUUUUAAGUACGGGUUCCAUAUGAUAUUAGUCCUUGUCCGGACGAACUAACUAUCAGGUAUUGCUUUCUCGGGUUGAAAAGCCUAGAGUGGUAUCCGAUAGGAGCGUUGGUGUUCUUUGAUUGUUGGUCUAAGGCGAUCGGAAGUAUUCUGAGAACCUCAGAUCGACCAUCGAGGAACAUCGACCGUGUCAUUUCCGGUCAUCUAUGAUCGGGGGUGUCACACUGAUGGUCGUGGGGAUUUCUCCUUGGUAUUUUUCCUUUGAAGACCAAACAUUAUAACCUGAAAAUCUCAACACAAAAGUUAGGAAAUAAAACCUCACACUCUCAAGUGUUUAAUCUCACCCACUCAAGUGUUUCUCUCAGAUUUAGGUGAUCACACACAAGUUUCUACUCAAUGUUCUAAGAGAACAAAUCAAAGAAUCUCAAUGGGCAAAUCCAAGCAAACAAGGGAAUUUCUCAAGAUAGAAAGAUAAGAAAUUUUUUUUUUUUUUGAUUUUUGAAAUCCGUUUUAACCACCUCAAAGGCUGGAUUUCUCCUCAGCCAGCAGGCUGUCUCUUCCACCACCAAUCCACAAAACAAACUUUGAAAUUUUUUCUAUAUAUUUUUUUUUGAAUCAAAUCGUAGAUCUUUUUUUUAUAUGGAUGGUAAUGAGGGGCCCGGAUUUAAGAAAGGUAGAAGAAGAAGUGUUUAUAAGAAAAUAGAAGAUGAGAAAGAUGAAUGAAAUGGACAAUACCGGAAGAGUGGCUCUGAUACCACUUGAUAGAACCAAAAUAUGGAUCACUCUUUCGGUAUGGUUGAUAUGAACUCAGAUCCGAGAGGAUUGAGAACUGAUGGAUCGAGGAGUGACACUAAGGGUUGCGGAAUAGCCCAAAGAUACUACCAGACUUCGAUCGUUGCCGGAUGUGAAGCACCGGUCCAACAAAAGAAGGUUCGAAACUUGGAGAUAACCUCACCGAGAAACUAAG